CUUCCUGCUCUCCUCCCCAUCAUCUAAAUCAGAGGAGCAGAAAUCCAGUUGUUUCUUUCAGAAGAACUUAUGAAAACUAUGACUCUCAAUUCAGGUAUUUAUUGAGAGCUAUUACAUACCAGCAACUGCACUGGGUCCAACAGAACAGAAUAAGACGGGGUCUCUACCCUCAUGGAUCAGUCUGGUGAAAGUGGUAAGCAGUCAAAUAUCCCAUAAAUAAGUAUGAAUCUGUGGCUGCUAUUAGAAGAAGUACAUGUUGCAAAGAGAAGAGAAGAAGAGAACUUAAUCUGUCAGAAAGAUCAAGAUGGUGUCUCCAAAUAAAUGAACCUUGAACCGAAGAUAUUCAAAGAAGUACUGAUGGGUUUAGGCCAUGCUACAUCAAAACAUGGCACCUUGGCAUUUGAGACGACAGCAGAAGUAGGAAAGUCCCUCUCAUCUUUCCUUACACUUUUCCCCUGAAGCAGGAGGUGCCCUCCCUGCACCUGGGGAAAGGGACAUGCUUAUCUCCAAAGACACAGGGACACAGAGAAGACUCUGAAGGCUGACACCUUGCUAAGUUCCCUGCAGUUAUUGCCGUUAGACCCCCAUUUUUCCAGUCCUACUUCUCCAUGGCUGUCAGCUUCAUCAAACCUGGCGUGCAAAAUACAUGGUUUUCUCUGUUUCUGUGGGUCCUUGUGAAGGCUCCCG
Molecule: non-coding RNA, 687 nt
Organism: Microcebus murinus (gray mouse lemur)
Lineage: Eukaryota; Metazoa; Chordata; Mammalia; Primates; Cheirogaleidae
Source: RefSeq, a predicted model, not a curated record